GGCACAGCUUAUUCAGGUUUAUAUAGAAAUUCACAAGGAUGUCUGGAGGCAGAGCAGGGCUGAACAUUUUCGUGAGACCACUGGAGGCAAUUUCUGGCAGAGUCAGAGUGGCUGGAGUGGUGAGUCGAUUCCGUGCUCUUGAGAGCUGUAACAUCACAGCAUCCAUAAGCUUAAGAACCUCUGAGCCUGUCUUGAAGUGGUAGUUUACAUCUCUGUUCAUAAGCAGGUAAAUUGCUUGGUUAACAUGGUUUCUAG
Molecule: long non-coding RNA, 255 nt
Filed under: Gallus gallus (chicken)
Lineage: Eukaryota; Metazoa; Chordata; Aves; Galliformes; Phasianidae
Source: RNAcentral